This is a non-coding RNA of Callorhinus ursinus (northern fur seal), 896 nucleotides long. The record is from RefSeq and is a predicted model, not a curated record. Lineage: Eukaryota; Metazoa; Chordata; Mammalia; Carnivora; Otariidae.
UAUGACAACGUAAAAGGAAGAUGAAGGAUCUAAAGCAGAAGAAUUUAAUACCAGCAAAAGAUGGUUUGAUGAUAUUAGAAGUUUGGCUUAAAAAAUGUCACACUAACAGCAGAAGCAACUUUUACCCAACCAAGAGGCAGCAGGUGGGUUUCCAGACAUUUGUAAGAAAAUCACUAAAGAGAAAGGAUAUCUGCCUGAACAGGUGUAUUUUUUAACAUUUAUGAGUAAGGAAGAGAAUUGAGCACCAGGAUUUAAGGCAAGAAGGGAUAGGUUAACUUUACAAUUUUGUGCAAGUGCAGUUGGGUUUGUAAUCAGGAUUGCGCUUAUCUAUAAAGCUGCUAACCCCCGAGCCUUAAAGGAAAAAAGUAAAUACCAGCUGCUAGUCUUCUAGUUACACAAUAAGAAGGUCUGAAUAAUAACAGCAUUCAACAUUUAUUCUGGAUUGGUUCCUUCAGUGCAUUGUCCCUGAAGUCAGGAGGUACCUUGCCAGGAAGACACUGCCUUUUUAAAAUCCUUUUAAUAUUGGACAAUGCCUUGGGUCACCCAGAACCCCAUGAGUUUAACAGUGGAGGCAUUGGAGUGGUCUACUUGCCUGCAAACAUAGUGUCUCUAAUUCAGCCUCUAGAUCACGAGAUCAUAAGGACCUUUAAGGCUCAUUACACAUGGCACUCUAUGGAAAGGAUUGUCAACCUGAUAGAACAUCAUGAAAGUCUGGAAGGAUUAUACCAUUGAAGAUGCCAUCGUUAUAGAGAAAACCAUGAAAGCCAUCAAGCCCAAAACUAUACAUUCCUGCUGGAGAAAACUGUCUAGAUGUUGUGCAUGACUUCACAGGAUUUAAGACAGAGCCAUUCAAGGAAAUCAUAAAAGAGAUUGUGGAUAUGACCAAAAAAAAAAAA